RNAcentral lists this ribosomal RNA (274 nucleotides) under uncultured bacterium. RNAcentral's name for it is "partial 16S ribosomal RNA". It matches the Rfam family "Archaeal small subunit ribosomal RNA", at positions 473 to 747 of the family's 1478-position model. The record is from RNAcentral.
AUACCAGCCCCGCGAGCGGUCGGGACGCUUAUUGGGCCUAAAGCGCCCGUAGCCGGCCCGGCAAGUCCCCCCCUAAAGCCCCGGGCUCAACCCGGGGAGUGGGGGGGAUACUGCCGGGCUAGGGGGCGGGAGAGGCCGAGGGUACUCCCGGGGUAGGGGCGAAAUCCGAUAAUCCCGGGAGGACCACCAGUGGCGAAGGCGCUCGGCUGGAACGCGCCCGACGGUGAGGGGCGAAAGCCGGGGGAGCAAACCGGAUUAGAAACCCUAGUAGUCC